GACGAACGCUGGCGGCGUGCUUAACACAUGCAAGUCGAGCGGGAUCCAACCGGUGGCAACACCGGGGAAGAUCUAGCGGCGAACGGGUGAGUAACACGUGAGCAACCUGCCCCGAAGACUGGGAUAACACCGGGAAACCGGUGCUAAUACCGGAUGUCGUCAUUAGGCCGCAUGACCUGAUGAUGAAAGGAUUCAUCGCUUCGGGAGGGGCUCGCGGGCCAUCAGCUGUUGGUGGGGUAACGGCCUACCAAGGCGACGACGGCUAGCUGGUCUGAGAGGACGACCAGCCACACUGGGACUGAGACACGGUCCCGACUCCUACGGGAGGCAGCAGGUGGGGUAAUUUUCCGCAAUGGGCGAAAGCCUGACGGAGUGACGCCGC
RNAcentral lists this ribosomal RNA (382 nucleotides) under uncultured bacterium. RNAcentral describes it as "partial 16S ribosomal RNA". It matches the Rfam family "Bacterial small subunit ribosomal RNA", at positions 28 to 400 of the family's 1533-position model. The record is from RNAcentral.